This 442-nucleotide ribosomal RNA is filed under the name uncultured bacterium. RNAcentral describes it as "partial 16S ribosomal RNA". It matches the Rfam family "Bacterial small subunit ribosomal RNA", at positions 338 to 795 of the family's 1533-position model. The record is from RNAcentral.
CCUACGGGAGGCAGCAGUAGGGAAUCUUUCACAAUGGGCGAAAGCCUGAUGGAGCAACGCCGCGUGCAGGAUGAAGGCCUUCGGGUUGUAAACUGCUUUUAUAAGCGAGAAAUAUGAUGGUAACUUAUGAAUAAGGAUCGGCUAACUACGUGCCAGCAGCCGCGGUCAUACGUAGGAUCCGAGCAUUAUCCGGAGUGACUGGGUGUAAAGAGUUGCGUAGGGGGCAUAAUAAGUAGCUAGUGAAAUCUGGUGGCUCAACCAUUCAGACUAUUAGCUAAACUGUUAAGCUCGAGACCGUUAGGGGUAACUGGAAUUUCUAGUGUAGGAGUGAAAUCCGUAGAUAGUAGAAGGAACACCAAUAGCGUAGGCAGGUUGCUGGGACGGUUCUGACACUAAGGCACGAAAGCGUAGGGAGCAAACGGGAUUAGAUACCCUUGUAGUC